AUGCAGUCGAGCGGAGAUGAGGUGCUUGCACCUUAUCUUAGCGGCGGACGGGUGAGUAAUGCUUAGGAAUCUGCCUAUUAGUGGGGGACAACAUUCCGAAAGGAAUGCUAAUACCGCAUACGCCCUACGGGGGAAAGCAGGGGAUCUUCGGACCUUGCGCUAAUAGAUGAGCCUAAGUCGGAUUAGCUAGUUGGUGGGGUAAAGGCCUACCAAGGCGACGAUCUGUAGCGGGUCUGAGAGGAUGAUCCGCCACACUGGGACUGAGACACGGCCCAGACUCCUACGGGAGGCAGCAGUGGGGAAUAUUGGACAAUGGGCGGAAGCCUGAUCCAGCCAUGCCGCGUGUGUGAAGAAGGCCUUUUGGUUGUAAAGCACUUUAAGCGAGGAGGAGGCUACUUAGAUUAAUACUCUAGGAUAGUGGACGUUACUCGCAGAAUAAGCACCGGCUAACUCUGUGCCAGCAGCCGCGGUAAUACAGAGGGUGCGAGCGUUAAUCGGAUUUACUGGGCGUAAAGCGUGCGUAGGCGGCUGAUUAAGUCGGAUGUGAAAUCCCUGAGCUUAACUUAGGAAUUGCAUUCGAUACUGGUCAGCUAGAGUAUGGGAGAGGAUGGUAGAAUUCCAGGUGUAGCGGUGAAAUGCGUAGAGAUCUGGAGGAAUACCGAUGGCGAAGC
This 671-nucleotide ribosomal RNA is filed under the name Acinetobacter sp. RNAcentral's name for it is "bacterial SSU rRNA". It matches the Rfam family "Bacterial small subunit ribosomal RNA", at positions 55 to 722 of the family's 1533-position model. Lineage: Bacteria; Pseudomonadati; Pseudomonadota; Gammaproteobacteria; Moraxellales; Moraxellaceae. The record is from RNAcentral.